This 92-nucleotide non-coding RNA is filed under the name pig gut metagenome. Its description in RNAcentral is "THF riboswitch". It matches the Rfam family "THF (Tetrahydrofolate) riboswitch aptamer". From Rfam's summary of the family: THF riboswitch presents a pseudoknot that joins P1-P2 and the loop of P3 and two THF binding. The record is from RNAcentral.
GCAGAGUAGAAUAUCGAGCGUUAAGUGCCGGUUGGACGGGGAGUUGCCAAACGGACGAAGAUUUUCGCGGUUCGGUAUUCGCAUCCCGCUGC